CCCUUAGAUGUUCUGGGCUGCACGCGCGCUACACUGAUACUUUCAGCGAGUCCACCACCUUGCCUGAGAGGGUGGGGUAACCUCUGGAAAGUGUAUCGUGAUGGGGAUCGAUUAUUGUAAUUAUUAAUCUUGAACGAGGAAUUCCUAGUAAAUGCAAAUCAUCAGUUUGCGUUGAUUACGUCCCUGCCCUUUGUACACACCGCCCGUCGCACCUACCGAUUGGAUGAUUCGGUGAAACUCUCGGACCGUAGCUUGGACACCUUCGGGUGACCUCGCUGUGGGAAGUUAUUUAAACCUCAUCAUCUAGAGGAAGGUGAAGUCGUAACA
This 327-nucleotide ribosomal RNA is filed under the name uncultured eukaryote. Its description in RNAcentral is "partial 18S ribosomal RNA". It matches the Rfam family "Eukaryotic small subunit ribosomal RNA", at positions 1470 to 1796 of the family's 1831-position model. The record is from RNAcentral.